Long non-coding RNA from Mus musculus (house mouse), 4213 nucleotides. RefSeq annotates it as predicted gene, 53991. NCBI's taxonomy places the organism in Eukaryota, Metazoa, Chordata, Mammalia, Rodentia, Muridae. The transcript has 2 exons. The record is from RefSeq and is a predicted model, not a curated record.
CCCCGCCCUAUGGAGAUAGCUCCCUCCCAUUCUGUGUCAAGCUGCCUUCCACACAGCUCCAGAUGUCAGGCUGAACAGCCUCCCCUCAUGCUUGCUGCCAGCCUAGACCAGAAGUGGGAAGUGGACCUGCUAGGAGGCUGUGCACCCAAUGUUUGACAUACACAAUAUUUUCAAGUCAUCUCUAUACACUGACUUCGGUGAUCAUUUUCCAGAAGGGUGUCUGUGUGUCGUCCACUGAGAAGAAAAUGAAGGCUGUAAUAUGAAUACCUACAUAUGAAGAAGGCAAUUACAGAAUAUGUUACUUCAUGGACUCACAUUAGACUUAUAAUCUGGAAAAUUAUUCCAAUCACAUGGUCAGCAUAGUUAAAUAAACUUGUAUUUUAUACUAGUACUACCUCAUCCUAAUUCAGGUGUAAUAAGGCACAGAAUCUUCUUUUUUCAUUUUUAAUGUUUUUAUUGAAAUAAAAAUGCAAAGGUCAACAAUAAUAGCAUUUGUUUGAACAAAGCUUGGUAAUGUAUACUUAGAGCUCCAGUCCUUGGGAAGCGACUUGUGAGGUUUGAAAGUUUGUGGCCAGCCUGUAACACAUGAAGAAGUCAAGACCAAUGUGGGAUAGAGAGGUUUUUAUCUCAAAGAAAAAAAACAAAGUACCACUUGGGUUGAGAAGUUACCCAGGUAUAUGUCAUAUGGGCUACUGUUCACCACGAAGGGGUAUUAAGUAGGCUAGAGUGGUUUGUCAGAGAGUCCCAGGGAUCCAUUUCUUCUAAUAGUUACAACAGGUAGGAUGCAUUCUGGGACCAGGCCAUUAUAGUAGGCUAAAUGAUUGGGAAUCACGUUAAUCAUUUCCAGUUUCGCUUUCCCUUUCACUGUAAUUGUUCACUCUUGCCUGCUUACUCACUAGCUCUCCCUAUUUGUGGCUUGUCUCUCCUCUCCACACUCCAGGGCAAUCUAAUUUUUUCCACACUAGUGACCAGGCCUAUCUUGCAUACAAUAAUCCAGGUGUUCUGUGAGGUACCUAUGACCCAUGCUAGACACUUUAAGAAAGAAUACAGGUGUCUAACAUAGUACUCUGCUCAGUACAUGAAGAGAAUACAAAGUAGAGGAAUCCAGGAAUGAAUUCCCAGUUGCUAUUUUCUCUCAGAAUCUUCAGCAUAUUAAGGGAGAAUUUUUAAUUUACUUAUGUUGAGUUUUUCUCACAAUUAAAACCAUGUAAUUAAGCCCGGGGGUGGUAGCGCACACUGUUAAUCCCAGCACUUGGGAGGCAGAGGCAGGUGGAUUUCUGAGUUCGAGGCCAGCUUGGUCUACAAAGUGAGUUCCAGGACAGCCAGGGCUACACAGAGAAACCCUGUCUCGAAAAACCAAAAAAGAAAAAGAAAAACAAAAAAACAUGUAAUUACAAUGAUGUACAUGGAUCUAUAAGAUAUGGGAAUAAAUAUUAUACAAUGCAGAAAUAAAAUGAAGGGUGCAUGGCACCUCUAAACUAGAAAAUGAAAAGAAAACAUAAAACACCAUGAAAAAGUUCCUUUCUCUAUCAGACUUUCCCUAAUUUGAUGUCGUUUUCAAAUAGCUUAACAGAGUUUACUACUGUUAAGGUCAAUAUAUAGAAAGGAUGAGUGGAAGUUCUACAAGAAAAAUGUUCUCACCGACAGAGACCAGGUUGCUGUAAUUCUCCAACAUCACAUCAAUGUAUAGAGCCCUCUGAGCAGAGUCCAGGCAUUCCCACUCCUCCUGUGAGAAGUCUACAGACACAUCCCCAAAUGUCAACAGACACUGAAACAAAAACGCACAGUGUGACCAUGUGAUGCUGGGCACAGUGCUUUUCUGGAAAUAGGAAGAUGGGAUGUAGAUGAACAAAGAUCAUUACUUAGUGAGAUGAUUUCUCAUGUACUCACACUCUGUAAUGAAUGUUCUACCUCUGUGAAAGCAGGAUGACACAAUAGUCUCACAAGCAUGUCCAUGAAACAGGACACACAAUUGAGGUCUGGACAUGAUUAUCUAUCAUUAUGGACACUUUAUGUCUCUCAGAAUGACAGUGUGCAUGUCUCAGAAGGAUAGUUCGUGAUGAGUACACUUGCUUUAAAAUGCUAUACCUGAAAAUCAUGCUAAACUAUUGACAUUGAAUCAAUCCUGUCUGUAAUUGGGCCUUAUAGAGGAACACAGAUGGGAUGACAUGUGUGUGUGUGUGUGUGUGUGUGUGUGUGUGUGUGUAAGAGAGAGGGGGGUACAAAUUAAUGCACUCAAAUGGAAAUAAUUUUGAAGAGUAUUUAAAAAAUAAAGAUAAAAUUAAUGUGUGGCUCUGCAAUUUCUUUCCUGGGAACAUACCCAGAGAACUCUACAUUCCACUCUAGAUUAUUUACACCCCAUGGUUACUGGUGCUUUAUUCACCAUUGCAAAAAACUAAUCAACCUAAUUGUCUACCACCACAUGAAUGGAUAAUGAAAAUGUUACACAUAUAAAAUGGAAACCUAUCCAAGUAAAGAGAGAAAUGUAAUAGUAAUUUAUAGGAAAGUAACUGGACUUAGAAUGUGUACUAUUAAGUGAGGUCAUACAUUGCCAGAAAGAAUAAAACAUAUUUUCCCUCAUAUGCACAAUCUAUGUAACAAUAUUUGCUUACGGAAACCAUGUACAUGUGGACACAAAAGAGCAUGGAGAAAAGAGAACAAGAAAGAUUAAAUAUCAGGGGCUGAGAUAGGACUAAACGCAGGUAAUGACCACCAGUUGUGAAAAAAAGAUAUAACACUAAUAGCUUUUCUAAUUCUAAUUCAUAUGUUUUUUAUUGCAAUGUCACACUUUUUUGUGUGUUUUCGUGGUAGGUAAGUACAUCAAAACAUAUCAGAUAUUGAAACUAUUAAGUUAAAUCAGUCUCCAGAGUUUUUGUUCCAGGUGACUAAUUUAACCAUAUAAAAGCUCAUUUGUUUGUAUAGAUUUUGGCUCUGGUUAUUUUCAGUGUGUGAUUGGUUUGUUUAUUUCCAAUGUGUCUUAUAAUAAAAAAUCAUAAAAACAGAAAAUUAAAAGCUUGAAAUACCUGAAAAUAUAACAUUUCUAGAAAAGAAGCAAACAUGACCACUGACCUGGGACAUGUUUACUGGAAAAUUAUCCAUUUCUGUUUCUCUUCUCUUCUCUUAAUUUCUCUUUUAGGAACAAUGAAUAGCUGGUUUGUGGUCCUUUCAUAGAAGGGAUCAAAAAGAAAAAGAAAAAGCAGAAAUCAAUACUGAAAUCUACUAAAAAAUAGUGUCAAAGCACAUAACAAGAUUCAAACAUCAGAAUACUAUGAGGAAUCCUGUCAAUGAUCCCAAAACCAAGACAACAUGAGACCAUAUUGGAAGUUUAAAGGGAAAGUCACCAUCAAGCAUAUUGUUGCAUCUAGAAAAAUAAUCUCUUUAAAUUGAUGGAGCGAUAUAAGUGUAUUUCAAGAUAGUCCAAAUUAAUACAAGUCAUUUCACGAAUGCAGCCUAGUAUAUAAUAAAUUACAGAAAAAUAUGCACAAGAGGUAUAAUGAUUAGCCAUGAAAACAUGGGAAUAAUAAACUUUAUUUGGAAAGUAGAUAAAUACGGGAGAACUAAGAAGUAAUCAUCCAUAAGCAAAACAGCAAAAAUACUAGUUCUCACAGAGAAAGAAUAAUAGCACCCAUAAUCCUACCAACAACAUAAAUAAAUAAUAAACAACAAUAAGCAUGAGGAAUAAAACUCCCAUGAACAAAAAAUGUAGCCACUGUGGGUAUCAAUAUGGACAAACCAGUUAAAUAAACAAAUCCUCAAGUUAAAUAAAUCUAGCAUGUGACACAGCUCUUCUACUCCUUUGCAUGUGUUCAAGGGAAUCAAUGUCCUACUCCACAGAUGUUCACUGCUGCUCUACUCACAAUAGCUUUAAAAAGGGGAACAAUUUAAAUGGCCUUCAAUGGACAAAUGGAGAGUGGAAAUGUGGUGCAUAUACACUAUGGAAUAUUAUUAAGCUGUAAAGAAAAUUAAAGUCAGGAGUGUUGCAGGUAAAUAGGUGGCCUAAUAAAAGAUCACAGUCAGUGGAGUAACCCAGAACCAGAAAGACAGGCAUUGCAUCUUCUCUCUCAUAGGAAGUUUCUAGAUCCAAAACUUCUGAUGUGAGUUCACAACCUGGAGUACCUGCAGUAACCAGAAAACUAAAAGCAGAUCAUUGUGGAAUGUGGGGGAAUAAUAGAAAGGGGAAUAACAGGGAACUAAAGGAUCUAAAGAGGAAAAA